Molecule: ribosomal RNA, 268 nt
Filed under: uncultured Sphingobacteriales bacterium
Lineage: Bacteria; Pseudomonadati; Bacteroidota; Sphingobacteriia; Sphingobacteriales
Description: partial 16S ribosomal RNA
Rfam family: Bacterial small subunit ribosomal RNA
Source: RNAcentral
GUUGCCAUCAGGUAAUGCUGGGGACUCUAAAGGAACUGCCUACGCAAGUAGUGAGGAAGCGGGGAUGACGUCAAAUCAGCACGGCCCUUACGUCCAGGGCUACACACGUGCUACAAUGGCCGAUACAGAGGGCAGCUACCUGGUGACAGGAUGCAAAUCUCCAAAGUCGGUCUCAGUUCGGAUCGGAGUCUGCAACCCGACUCCGUGAAGUUGGAUUCGCUAGUAAUCGCGCAUCAGCCAUGGCGCGGUGAAUACGUUCCCGGGCCUU